UCACAAUGAUUACAAACUUAGCUCACUUUGAACCAAUGUGAAACGAUACGAACGACUGAGUGAC
Small nucleolar RNA from Esox lucius (northern pike), 64 nucleotides. The record is from Ensembl. Lineage: Eukaryota; Metazoa; Chordata; Actinopteri; Esociformes; Esocidae.